This 253-nucleotide ribosomal RNA is filed under the name uncultured bacterium. RNAcentral's name for it is "partial 16S ribosomal RNA". It matches the Rfam family "Bacterial small subunit ribosomal RNA", at positions 524 to 776 of the family's 1533-position model. The record is from RNAcentral.
GACAGAGGGUGCAAACGUUGUUCGGAAUUACUGGGCGUAAAGCGCGUGUAGGCUGCUCAGAAAGUCGGAUGUGAAAGCCCUGGGCUUAACCUAGGAAGUGCAUUCGAAACUUCUGAGCUUGAGUUCUGGAGAGGAAGGCGGAAUUCUCGGUGUAGAGGUGAAAUUCGUAGAUAUCGAGAGGAACACCGGUGGCGAAGGCGGCCUUCUGGACAGUGACUGACGCUGAGGCACGAAGGCCAGGGGAGCAAACGGG